CUCCACACUCGGCCCUUUCCGGUGCUCCCCGCCCGGGUUUCCCCCCGCAGGAAACACCAUCAGAGUCACUGGCUCCGGCCUGGACGAGGACGCGCCUCUCUCUUCUCGCGGCCCGCAGCCCUAAGAGUCUAGGUCCUAGGAGAAGCCAACGCACAGCGUGGAGACGGUAGACGCGGGGUCCCUGGCUUCCCCCACAUGCUGCCCAGAGCCCCUUUCGGACACUCCAGGACUGCACGCAGGAGGGUACCUCCAGUGAUGCUCAGGGGUUACCCUCUGGAUCUGUGCUCAGGAAUCAUUUCUGGUGGUGUAGUGGGACCCUAUGAAAUGCAGAGAUUGAGCCCAGGUGGGCAGCUUGCAAGGUAAGCGCCCUCCCUGCUGUACUAUCUCUCCAGCCCCUAUCCCACCUUUUACUUGCCCACGCAAAGUGCAAGCCCAGGUUCUCCAUGUACUCCCUCCUUUCACUUCCCACUCCUGUCUACACUGCCAACUCUGUGUUCACAAGGUUCAUUGUCCUGACCUCAGCCUAUGCCCAGGCACCUUCAUGCUGAAGCCUCCAUUGGCAUGUGAAGGUGCCAGUGAGGCUGCCUGGCCACACAGCCUCCCUCCACCCCAUUCUUCUCUCAAGCACCCGAAGUGCCCAAUCCCUGCUUGGGCCAGGGGUUCACUUGCAGGCCCUAGGCCUGGUUUACCUAAGGUGGGACCUCGGGGCUGGAGAGAUAGUCCUAUGUGGAGGGAACUUCCCUUGCACAUGGCUGACUUGGAUUUGAUCGUCGGCAUCCCAU
Molecule: long non-coding RNA, 782 nt
Organism: Suncus etruscus (white-toothed pygmy shrew)
Lineage: Eukaryota; Metazoa; Chordata; Mammalia; Eulipotyphla; Soricidae
Exons: 2
Source: RefSeq, a predicted model, not a curated record